RNAcentral lists this long non-coding RNA (242 nucleotides) under Elaeis guineensis (African oil palm). RNAcentral describes it as "long non-coding RNA (EGUI_LNC080381)". The record is from RNAcentral. Lineage: Eukaryota; Viridiplantae; Streptophyta; Magnoliopsida; Arecales; Arecaceae.
GAGCUUCUCCAUUCAUCUACUAGACUGCUCCAAAUGCUCUCUGGGCUUCACUAUCAGCCGAUUUUCUACAGUGAUCAACUAUUCUCCGAAUCCCUUCCAGACUUAUUUCGACCACGGACGACUCUACUCCGAACUUCAUCAAUAUCCGAGCUUCUCCGACAAUGAGAUUUCAACGGUAACCAGACUCCAUCCAAGUUUCUACGACGGUCGACCACCUUCCGAAUUCCAUCCGAGCUCCUACG